Hemibagrus wyckioides is the source of this 596-nucleotide long non-coding RNA. RefSeq lists it as uncharacterized. Lineage: Eukaryota; Metazoa; Chordata; Actinopteri; Siluriformes; Bagridae. The transcript has 3 exons. The record is from RefSeq and is a predicted model, not a curated record.
CCUGCUUGUGCCCCUCAUAUUUUAAUAGCAUGUAUGUGUUUAUAAGGAACCACGCAUUCGAGUGUGAGCAUAAAAUCCUCACAUCCCUAUUUAAAUCUUCAAGUAUUGCCCUUUCCCCUAGUAUACGAUUUCAGGAAGCACAUCUUGCCAAACAGUCACACACACAUGCUAAGAUUAGCUUUGUCCAGUGUACGCCUGCCCAUGUACACAACCACGUCGUCCACUAUUGGGUCCUGGAGGCAAGCGAAACAGUGAUGAGAUGUAUUUAAGGAAGAGAAGAGUUGUUUCUCCGACAAUAUUAUGGCGUUCUUGUGGGAAACCGCAUAUGUCAUUAGGAGCAGGCACCAGAACACCACUGGGUGUGUUUUUUUUCCCAGCUUAGCACACAGAGGAACUCCUGAGAAGAAGAGAGGGGAAAAUAUGACAAGAGGAGAUCAAGAGAGUGAGAAACAAGCUCAGGGAGACAGAGACAAGCGAAGAAUAUUUUGAAUAAAGAAGACUUUAUGAGGAAAAAAAAAUUAAGCUUUCUUCUGUCUUUCCUUAGUAUUAAUACUGUGUUUUCCAGGACACCAUACUACUCUAAUCAAACAUUAAAA